This is a long non-coding RNA of Labrus mixtus (cuckoo wrasse), 284 nucleotides long. RefSeq lists it as uncharacterized. Lineage: Eukaryota; Metazoa; Chordata; Actinopteri; Labriformes; Labridae. The record is from RefSeq and is a predicted model, not a curated record. The transcript is spliced from 2 exons.
AACAUAAAAAAACCAGACAGAAAAUAAAUAAUAAUCACAAACAGUGGAAAGUAUAAUUCAUAAAAAAAUUUUAAAAAUUGGACGCUAUGCCAUUUUAAAGUUGACAAGCAAACAAGCUGGGUACAGUGAGCACAGACACUGAUUCUCAACAUUUCAAAAUAAAAUAAGCCGGUCGUUAAUAAAACUAAAGCAAAUUAGCUAAUGUUGACGAGUUAGCCCGCGCCCACCCAGCACUCAAAGUUGCAAUGCCCUCAUUAAUGCAUAACUUUGAGCUUUACUUCAAA